Molecule: ribosomal RNA, 446 nt
Filed under: uncultured bacterium
Lineage: Bacteria
Description: partial 16S ribosomal RNA
Rfam family: Bacterial small subunit ribosomal RNA
Source: RNAcentral
CCUACGGGAGGCAGCAGUCGAGAAUCAUUCACAAUGGGGGAAACCCUGGUGGUGCGACGCCGCGUGGGGGAAUGAAGGUCUUCGGAUUGUAAACCCCUGUCAUGUGGGAGCAAAUUAAAAAGAUAGUACCACAAGAGGAAGAGACGGCUAACUCUGUGCCAGCAGCCGCGGUAAUACAGAGGUCUCAAGCGUUGUUCGGAAUCACUGGGCGUAAAGCGUGCGUAGGCUGUUUCGUAAGUCGUGUGUGAAAGGCGCGGGCUCAACCCGCGGACGGCACAUGAUACUGCGAGACUAGAGUAAUGGAGGGGGAACCGGAAUUCUCGGUGUAGCAGGGAAAUGCGUAGAUAUCGAGAGGAACACUCGUGGCGAAGGCGGGUUCCUGGACAUUAACUGACGCUGAGGCACGAAGGCCAGGGGAGCGAAAGGGAUUAGAUACCCGGGUAGUC